RNAcentral lists this ribosomal RNA (490 nucleotides) under uncultured bacterium. RNAcentral describes it as "bacterial SSU rRNA". It matches the Rfam family "Bacterial small subunit ribosomal RNA", at positions 30 to 506 of the family's 1533-position model. The record is from RNAcentral.
AUUGAACGCUGGCGGCAUGCUUUACACAUGCAAGUCGAACGGCAGCACGGGUGCUUGCACUUGGUGGCGAGUGGCGGACGGGUGAGUAAUACAUCGGAACGUAUCCUAAAGUGGGGGAUAACGCAUCGAAAGAUGUGCUAAUACCGCAUACACUCUGAGGAGGAAAGUAGGGGAUCGAAAGACCUUAUGCUUUUGGAGCGGCCGAUGUCUGAUUAGCUAGUUGGUAAGGUAAUGGCUUACCAAGGCAACGAUCAGUAGUUGGUCUGAGAGGACGACCAGCCACACUGGGACUGAGACACGGCCCAGACUCCUACGGGAGGCAGCAGUGGGGAAUUUUGGACAAUGGGCGCAAGCCUGAUCCAGCAAUGCCGCGUGAGUGAAGAAGGCCUUCGGUUGUAAAGCUCUUUCUAGUUGUAGAAGAAAAGAAUUAGUGACUAAUAAUUAGCAAUUCAUGACGGUAUCAACAGAAGAAGACACCGGCUAACUAACG